UGUUGUUAAUAAAGGGAUGCAAAAAGGUCUUCCGCGGCAUCUACGGUGAUUUCUCAAAAACUAAUGAUGUUGUUUGUUCAGAUGAUUUAUGGAGAGAGGAGGGGGACAGUUGUUGUGCCAGCCCACCCUGCCAUCAGUGAUGAUGAGGAGGUGAAAGAUAAUGGCGAUGUGGCAGACCCUGACUGGACAAUCCAGGUCCAAGUGACCUCUUGCCAUCUGCAUGUAAACGGGGACAGCCAGUGACAACAAAAUUAGACGACCUCCAUGCAAGUCCAUCAAGGAGAUGGGGAAAAAUGAAGUCCCCCGUGCUAUGUGUGACUACAUAACCAGUGACGAUGGGAUCCUGGCCCUCAGGUGGAAGGACAACAAAAUUGUCACUGCUGUCAACAGACAUGGGGGUGGAGCCUAUGUCCUCUGUCUCAGGUACUGCAGCGACACCAAGACAAAGGAGCUGUCCAGCUGUCUUCAAAAGUAACAAUGCCAACAUGGGUGGCAUUGAGAAGAGCGACAUGUUGGUUCACCUCUAACACACCUCAUGAGGUCAAGGUCAAAGAGUGGGUGGGGCCUAUCGGCUCCUGCAAAUCACCACACGUUUGCACAGACUGCAGAUCUGAGGGAGGAGGGGACCAGGAAAUUUGAGCUGCCUCUAUUUGAAGGGAGAGGAUUAUCAGGAUGUGACGAGGAGCCUGACAAACAAAAGGUGUUUAACUCUUUGUGUGAUGUAAAGUGCAGAUAAUGGAAAACAAAGCUUUGCUUACACUACACACAUUGGAAGAAAAUGAUACUUUGUCUGGUAUAGCUGAAGUUUUUGAGCAUUUGCGAGGUCAGAAUCCACUCUGGAAAAAGAGUCUAAAACCCAGCUUUUGGCUAAAGCUUGAAUCCAUAAUUUUGUCUCUGAAACACUGUUUGAUUACGUAAAUCUUCCUCACACCCUGACAGACUUCUGCAAAGUUUCAAACAAAGGUGUGUGUGUGUGUGUGUGUGUGUGUGGGGGGGGCAUGAAACAGGGAUGCUCACUCUUCCUAAAAACCUGUUCAACCUGUCACCAACUUACUGUUAAAGCUGUGUGGUUGCUGUUGUUCUCAAGAACCAUGCGUAAAAGUAGCAUAACAAGCAAAAAAAAAAAGACAAUAAAGACACAUACUGAUCAUUGCACAUAAUCAUAUAUUGCCUGUUGUGCUGGUUUCAAAUUCCCGAGUUUCGGACUCUAAUUGCCCAGUUUUUAAGCCUCUUCAUCCUGUACCAUGUGAUAAAAAGGCACUGUCCAGGAUGUGUGUGAUCUGAGAUGAUAUUAGGGGCCCUGCUGAGACACCAGGAACUGGUGAGGUGAUCCAGGGGCAACCAAUGCUUUUCUGGGCUGGUUUGAUGACCCAUGGUGCACCAGUGCACCAGCACACUCUCAAUGGUGAGAGUGGUAAAAAAAAAGAAGAAGAAGUGUGCAGCCUUGAAUUUGCACCCUUGUGAUUCACUAAAAGACUUUGCAUCAAAACCAAUGAGCGUUGAGAUUCUGCAACUAAUGUCAUGUCCAUGAAGUUCACAAUAGAGGAAAAUAAAUAAAUACCUCCAUUGUCUGCCAGGACACCCUCUAUACACAGUCACUAUGAUGUAGAAUGGGACAGGAUCUACUCUGUACCUCCUCAAGUCCACAAUCAUCCCCUUGGUUUUGCUGUUAAGCAUGAGAUUAUUUGCAGAGCCCCCCUGCUGUGCCAUCUUCUCGAACUUGGCUCUGUAUGCUGACUCGUCAAGGGCCUUUGCGUCCUCGCUCGCUGCCAUCAUCAUUAAGAUUGACCAGCUAGUGAUUACUGCUCUGAUUCAUUCUAGUGUAUUCAUUUUCAUUAAAUAAAAAACAUUAUAUUUUAUUGUCAGUUCCGGUAGUUAAAUGGAUCUUAGUGACAGAGCUGUGUUGAGGCUAUAGUCUCUUACAGUGGCAGUGAGCCCAUGCACAUGUCCCACAAGUCCCAUUGUUGGAGGAAAUUUAAUUUCACUUGUCGUUCUUCUUAAGAGAAGAAAAUUAAGUUUCCUCAAAAGGAGAUAUUACAGUCUGUGCAGUCUGACUCACUGCUCCUUCUUAUGUUUGACGGGUUAGAUAUCCUAACUAGAUAACGAUGAGCAAUCAAUUUCACCCAAAUGGAACAGAUAAAAUGAUUUCCGAAACUUGUUUUAUAUUGC
Molecule: long non-coding RNA, 2169 nt
Organism: Solea senegalensis (Senegalese sole)
Lineage: Eukaryota; Metazoa; Chordata; Actinopteri; Pleuronectiformes; Soleidae
Exons: 4
Source: RefSeq, a predicted model, not a curated record